GACAGAGGGAGCUAGCGUUGUUCGGAAUGACUGGGCGUAAAGGGUGCGUAGGCGGUGACCUAAGUAGGAUGUGAAAGCCCCAGGCUUAACCUGGGAAUGUCGUUCUAAACUGGGUGACUAGAGUAUGAGAGAGGAAAGUGGAAUUCCUAGUGUAGAGGUGAAAUUCGUAGAUAUUAGGAGGAAUACCGGAGGCGAAGGCGGCUUUCUGGAUCAACACUGACGCUGAGGCACGAAAGCGUGGGGAGCAAACAGG
RNAcentral lists this ribosomal RNA (253 nucleotides) under uncultured bacterium. RNAcentral's name for it is "partial 16S ribosomal RNA". It matches the Rfam family "Bacterial small subunit ribosomal RNA", at positions 524 to 776 of the family's 1533-position model. The record is from RNAcentral.